AGCCCCCUAUAUCCGUGCUGAGAUUUCGUCAGCGAUCAACCCGUUGGGGGUGAUGCAACUUCCCAAAUAAGUGAAGCG
RNAcentral lists this microRNA precursor (78 nucleotides) under Trichobilharzia regenti. RNAcentral describes it as "mir-3492 microRNA precursor family". It matches the Rfam family "mir-3492 microRNA precursor family". The record is from Rfam by way of RNAcentral. Lineage: Eukaryota; Metazoa; Platyhelminthes; Trematoda; Strigeidida; Schistosomatidae.